Long non-coding RNA from Podarcis muralis (Common wall lizard), 2708 nucleotides. RefSeq lists it as uncharacterized. Lineage: Eukaryota; Metazoa; Chordata; Lepidosauria; Squamata; Lacertidae. The record is from RefSeq and is a predicted model, not a curated record.
UAUGGGGAGUCGAAGGACUUGGUAUAUGCCACGGAACAAGCCUUGGUGACAAUCCUUAUUAUUAUUACUAUUAUUUUUAUUCACGAGCAAAGCGAUCGCGCGGCAGAGAGGCGGAGAACACCGCCCCGCAGAUGCCGGUCCCCCUUCUGAUCAGGGUACCACUUUCAGAUAAAAACAUGGACCUGAUUGGCAUCAUCCAGUAUCCAUGGAAACACGAGUGACAUGGAAAUGCAACAGAAAAGAUUUGUGAAUUAGCUCAUGAAAAACAACAACUGACAUGGGUUGAAUAUAGAUUGAUUGAUUGAUUGAUUGAUUGAUAGAUCCAUCCAUCCAUCUGUACACUGAAUUCUACAGAAGCGGAGACCUGGGUGGAUGAUUUAGGAGAUACAGCUGCUCAGACUGGUGCCAUGAGGAGAAGCUACUGCUUUGCUGCACUUGUGUGUCAAGAGGAGACUGACGAUUCAGUGUCUGAGGAGGGGAGCCUUCCAGACCCAGAUGCCGACUACCUAAACACAUCUCGCGAUGAGGAGCUGAAGAUAUUUAUAUGUACAGAUGUAUCUAAAUAAAUUGAGGGGCGACUCUGUGUUUCGGCGACCACACUAGGACCUGUAUUCUGAUUUUGGGUUUGCCUCAGUAAACCUCUCUAGCGAUCUUUGUUAUGUUUACUUCUCAGUUUAUUGUUCCUUCUUUGUCCCAUUUGGUGUGCUUUUCGUGAUCAUAUCAGAUUUGCACACAAACUGAUGUGUGUUCGUUUGUUCAUUUUAAGUCACUGCAGGGUGAGUUUGAAGUGGGAAGUAAAUGGGUUGUUUAUUUUAUUUAUUUUUUAAGAAAAAGGAUGAUAAAAAGCUUGAGAAGUCGGUAUGGUACUGUGAAAUAAUAUAGGGAUUUCACAGCUGCUGGGGAGUGGACAACUGCAGACACUCACUAUCAGCUGGUACAGGACACUUUUGAGCCUCAUUUAGGCAUGCUCCUGAAUGGUCCUGGGUUAAACUAGGGAUGAGGGCAUAUGGAAGUCCAACCACCAACAAGGGUGGUCUGGAAAGGCUAAAGCUCAGGGGCAGAGCACAUGUGAAGGUAUUGUGUCUCAAAAACCAUCCAGAUAGAAGUCUUGACAAUGACAAUCAGAAGCCACGCCUUGUCUCUACAGCCAUCACAAUGCCACUGAGAGCUCCUCUAGUUUCCCCUUCCUCUGUGUUAAUCUUCUAGCUCUCUAGAGCAUUGCCACCAACCUACAGGGCAGUGUAGAGGUGGCUCAGAUAUAUAUAUAUAUAUGCGCUUGUAUAAUGGCUCUGGGCUGUCUGUUUGAGAAAACUGACAUUUCCUGGAAGCCCUGGAAGUGUGCCAGAACCCAGGCCUGCCUGAGAAGCCUGCAUUAGGCUAGGACCACAAAGGGGGGGAAAUACCUCAUAGGAUUUAGCACCACAUAUGAAAAGCAGAAGUCUCCAGACCAUCUACUUGGCCUUCUCCAAGAUUUUCCUAGAACACCUUUCCCCAGAACAAACUGCUGCUCUACUCUAGGUCUUCAUGCCUGAGCCUCCUCACAGCACUCAGACCAUGACAGCUUAAUAAAUGGGCUGGGCCAGGGAUAGCCAGCACAGUCCCUUCAGAUGUUACUGGGCUGCAGUUUCCCUCAGCAGCAGUUCAGUGCUUUCAGUGGGACGCACGUUCUAUGACCGGCAGAUUGCAUUGGCACUCAGAUGUCCAUUCUGAUGCACAUUGGGAAGCACCUCCGAUUUAUGCCCAGUUCACACAACUAUGGGCCACAUGCUGCAUGUGUGUCCUGACUGCAGGAUUAAAAUGAAGCAGAAUACCAUACAAAAUUUUAAGGCACUUUUAAGGCACAGAUCAGCACUUUCCCAGUCCAUGACCAAGUGCCUCCCCCACUUUUUCUAGGAAAACCAACUCUGAAUCAGAACAAAUUACAAUUUAGGUUUUCCACAGAAUUGUUUCCAGCGGUAAAGAGAUGGCUUUCGUGGGGAAAUCACCUGGUCAAAACAAACAAACAAACAAACAAACAAACAAACAAGUGCUCAGACACUGAACUUUAAAGUGCAGCCCUGUGUCUAGAAACGUGGUACAAAAAGAAGUCUGGAUGAGCCUUAAGUUGCAAUACAGUAUGCAGGGUUCUCUUACAAACUGCAUUCAACAGUGUUGACAGUGGGCAGCCUACUGUCCCCAUUUAGCUCCUCAGUGAGGUGUGAAUAUUUUCAAGAUGACACAUAGUUUCUAUUGGUGUUGCCUCUAUGCUUCAUCAUACUCUGAGAAAUGAGCCUUAGGACAUUUCUGGAUAUGUUCCUGAUCUCCAUAAGCGGCAAAAGUUGCAAACGCAGGAGUGCAUAAGUGUUGGAUCACAUCCUGAUGUGUGUUGACAUACUGAUACGUAUGUUGCCAUACUGUUAUGAGUUUCUGAGGGGGCAGGUAGACUCCCCUAAAACUCUGGAUUCAGUAGAGAGCUGGAAUUCAAGCAAAGCCCUAAAUUCCUGGAUCUAGCAAAGGUUGGAAAUAACACAAGCCAGCUUCCUCAUGAGGUAUUCACUUGAUAAUGACAAAGUUGUUGACCUAAUGAAAGGUAGGCAGAUAGGGCUGUCAGUUUGCAUUUCUUAGUACAGAAAGUAUUGCUCUGAUGCGUAGAGAUCUUUCCUAUUCUGAUUAAUUCAAGAGUGUUCUGGAAGGUUCUUGUUUGGGUUAUUCCUUCUGAGAAGCCGAGU